This 253-nucleotide ribosomal RNA is filed under the name uncultured bacterium. RNAcentral describes it as "partial 16S ribosomal RNA". It matches the Rfam family "Bacterial small subunit ribosomal RNA", at positions 524 to 776 of the family's 1533-position model. The record is from RNAcentral.
UACGAAAGGGGCUAGCGUUGUUCGGAAUUACUGGGCGUAAAGCGCGCGUAGGCGGACUGUCAAGUUGGGGGUGAAAUCCCGGGGCUCAACCUCGGAACUGCCUCCAAAACUGUCAGUCUAGAGGAUGUGAGAGGAUGGUGGAAUUCCGAGUGUAGAGGUGAAAUUCGUAGAUAUUCGGAAGAACACCGGUGGCGAAGGCGACUGUCUGGCACAUUUCUGACGCUGAGGUGCGAAAGCGUGGGGAGCAAACAGG